Molecule: long non-coding RNA, 2335 nt
Filed under: Setaria viridis
Lineage: Eukaryota; Viridiplantae; Streptophyta; Magnoliopsida; Poales; Poaceae
Description: long non-coding RNA (SVIR_LNC007084)
Source: RNAcentral
CAGAAAGGGCUCAACACCAAUCAUGUGAAGAUUGAAAACACAUGAUCCCUCAAGAAGAGGCAAAAAGGGCUCAACACCAAUCAUGUUACGAUCUAAAGCUCAAACCAAAUGACGGCUCCUCAAGAAGAGGUAAUGAGCUCAACACGACUGGCAAAAGAGCAAAAGAGAGCACAAAACUCACAAGCUCCCCCUGAACACAUGCACUCCCCCUGAAAACAUGCCACAAUGAAAUGCAUGCAUAAGAGCAAAAGAAUGCAUAUUCCCCCUCAAAUGCAAAACUCUCCAUUAAAUGCAAGAAUCCCCCUUAAAUGCAAACAUAAGAUACGCAUGGAAGCACAAAAUGCAUGCCAUGAGGUGUACAACCUACCAAACUUCUCAAAUAUAUCACAAAGCACUUACAAAGGCUACAAGUGAGAUAUUGCACAGGCAGGUAGAUCAUAAAGAGCAAUUGCAUCGCUAUCAAGAGGAUAUGAUACAAGCAAAAGACGAAGCAAGUUGAUAAAUUUUGCAGUUCAUAAAAGUAUCAUCACAUCAGCAAGCACCUAGUCAUGAGUCACUCAAGCAAGAAGUAAACUAGGCCAUCAGAGCUCAUACAAGGAAAAUACAUUCUCAACAAGAGAUCAUUGUAAACACCCACAUAUGCAUCACAAGUCAUGUCGCAUCCUACACAUGCACAUCACAAGCCAAGAGACACUACACACAAGAUAUGUUUUAUACAAACACCGCAACACAACUCACACCGCCGGUUAGCCGUUAGCAUAAUCAAGUGCAUAUAUGGAAUAUGGACUCAACCGUUAAAGCCUCAAAUCAUCUAGUCAAUCACUCAUCACAAAUAGACCAAGGCACUUCUCAACUUGGUCUCUCAAAAUAGGACGAAUAUCAAUAUUCGAUACAUCUUGGUACUAUAUUCUUAUCCAAAUUCAAUAAAAAAAUAUGUAUUCUAUAUAUCCUUUCAUACUGAUCCAUUUUCAUCCAUAACCGCUGAGCAUGACCAAUAGAGAGAGGCAAUAUAGCAUGGGGUGGAGGAAAGAGACCGCGUACCCAUCUAUAGGGAGCUAAGGCAGAGCAAGGAGGCUAGCCACCCUUGGCAUGUGAACCGAGCUAUGUUCCUUCUCUACUCACACAUUGCCACCUCACUGUUUGUCGAGGUGCAGGCUUCGGUCCUCUACGCAUGUUGAAUAUAGAGGCGGAGAGAGGGAGGUAGGAGAGGAGAAGCAUUUGGUGGAUGAGCACGCCAUGCACAAAGAUGGCGAUGGAAAGGAAGGUAGAGUGGGGUGGUCAUUGACGGUAGGUAGGUGAGGGGUGUAUGAGAAGCAGUGUGCAGGAGAGCAAGAACGAGAUUAAGGGGAAAUGGAUGAGAUCAAGAUAGGGUGGAGAUGAAAAGGAAAAUGGAGUGACACUAAGGGCGUGCUUGGAUCCUUCGCUCGGCACUGUAAUGCCUUGUUGAGCGAGGAUGCAGAACGACUAUAUGAGUUUGGUUUCCUAGCUUGGACAUUGCAAUGUCUGUGUGAGCAAGUUUUGGCUUGCUUCCGCCAGAGAGCAAAAUCGGCUUGCCCUGCCUAGGCAACCCUCUCGUUAUUUGCGCUAGUGAGGCAAGGGGAGGGACCUCCGAAACCAAGUGCACCCUAACAUUGAUCCUACAUGUCUAGGGUAGUAUUUGAGAUGGUUUUCUAUAGUGUGUUGCGCCAAUUGGAUCUAAAAUCAUGGAAAACUUAUUAGGACUCGCCCGAUACCACCUCUUUGGAUGGAGUUUCGUAGGACUGUUGGAAAUGAUCUUCCUUGUUAAUAUGAUAUCAUUGGAACUACCUAAAUAUUUGAAGGAUUAAUAAAAUAUAGUUUUUUACUCUCUUAUCUCGUUCAGCCUCCUCUCCAAAACCAGUGAUGGAUAGGAGUACGCAAAUAUCCUCACCGACAUGUAUGUCACCCAACUUAGAAGGUGGCCAGCCCCAUAUUCUAGACAUACGAGGCACGGUGCAAGAUGGCAUGGACUGUAAGGAGCUUGCUAGACGGAUGGAUAUUAUCUAGACUACUCAGAGCGUAUCUUGUAACCAAAUUCGAUUGAUUUCCUUGUACAAACCAGCUAGGAUUAGAUCCCAUCUGACUUGUAGCCCUAGGUCAUCAACCUAUAUAAGGCAGCAAAGGACCGACUUGUAGGGAAACCAACUCAUAACUUGCCAUUGCUAACCUAACUUUGAUGAGUCAAUCAAUACAAUCCAUAAGAACACACGACGUAGGGUAUUACACCGCCUUGGUGGCCCUAAAUCUAUAUAAACCCUACAUCUUAUGUUACCAUUCGAGUUCUUGGUUUCACAUUCCCCUCUGCCUACAAAUCAAC